RNAcentral lists this ribosomal RNA (1603 nucleotides) under Plasmodium cf. inui. RNAcentral's name for it is "SSU rRNA". It matches the Rfam family "Eukaryotic small subunit ribosomal RNA", at positions 61 to 1439 of the family's 1831-position model. The record is from RNAcentral. Lineage: Eukaryota; Apicomplexa; Aconoidasida; Haemosporida; Plasmodiidae.
AAGUAUAUGCAUAUUUUAUAUGUAGAAACUGCGAACGGCUCAUUAAAACAGUUAUAAUCUACUUGACAUUUUUUCUAUAAGGAUAACUACGGAAAAGCUGUAGCUAAUACUUGCUUUAGCACUCUUGAUUAAGUUCUUGAGUGUGUACUUGUUAAGCCUUUUAAGAAAAAAGUUAUUAACUUAAGGAAUUAUAACAAAGAAGCAACACGUAAAUGGAUUUUCCAUUUUUUAGUGUGUAUCAAUCGAGUUUCUGACCUAUCAGCUUUUGAUGUUAGGGUAUUGGCCUAACAUGGCUAUGACGGGUAACGGGGAAUUAGAGUUCGAUUCCGGAGAGGGAGCCUGAGAAAUAGCUACCACAUCUAAGGAAGGCAGCAGGCGCGUAAAUUACCCAAUUCUAAAGAAGAGAGGUAGUGACAAGAAAUAACAAUACAAGGCCAAUCUGGCUUUGUAAUUGGAAUGAUGGGAAUUUAAAACCUUCCCAAAACUCAAUUGGAGGGCAAGUCUGGUGCCAGCAGCCGCGGUAAUUCCAGCUCCAAUAGCGUAUAUUAAAAUUGUUGCAGUUAAAACGCUCGUAGUUGAAUUUCAAAGAAUCGAUAUUUUAAGUAGCACUUUGUAGAUUAAUCCACAUAACUGAUACUACGUAUCGACUUUGUGCGCAUUUUUCUACUUAUGUGUUCUUUUAAUUAAAAUGAUUCUUUUUAAGAUCUUUCUUUUUUGCUUCGGCAUUUUAGGAGAUCUUGUUACUUUGAGUAAAUUAGAGUGUUCAAAGCAAACAGAUUAUAGCAUCUUUAUGCGUUUGAAUACUACAGCAUGGAAUAACAAAAUUGAACAAGUCAGAAUUUUGUUCUUUUUUCUUAUUUUGGCUUAGUUACGAUUAAUAGGAGUAGCUUGGGGGCAUUUGUAUUCAGAUGUCAGAGGUGAAAUUCUUAGAUUUUCUGGAGACAAACAACUGCGAAAGCAUUUGCCUAAAAUACUUCCAUUAAUCAAGAACGAAAGUUAAGGGAGUGAAGACGAUCAGAUACCGUCGUAAUCUUAACCAUAAACUAUGCCGACUAGGCUUUGGAUGAAAGAUUUUAAAAUAAGAGUUUUCCUUUCCCUUCGGGGUUAGGACUCUUAGAUUGCUUCCUUCAGUGCCUUAUGAGAAAUCAAAGUCUUUGGGUUCUGGGGCGAGUAUUCGCGCAAGCGAGAAAGUUAAAAGAAUUGACGGAAGGGCACCACCAGGCGUGGAGCUUGCGGCUUAAUUUGACUCAACACGGGAAAACUCACUAGUUUAAGACAAGAGUAGGAUUGACAGAUUAAUAGCUCUUUCUUGAUUUCUUGGAUGGUGAUGCAUGGCCGUUUUUAGUUCGUGAAUAUGAUUUGUCUGGUUAAUUCCGAUAACGAACGAGAUCUUAACCUGCUAAUUAGCGGCAAAUACGAUAUAUUCUUUUGUGGAAUUGAAUAUGGUGGAUUUGUUAAAUUUUGAAGAAAAUAUUGGAAUUACUAACCGUUUUUCCUUUCCCUUUUCUACUUAAUUUACUUAUCCUACUAUUUCUUUUUUGCAUUUGAAUGUAUUUGCUUGAUUGUAAAGCUUCUUAGAGGAACGAUGUGUGUCUAACACAAG